This is a small nucleolar RNA of Ochotona princeps (American pika), 140 nucleotides long. Its record names the gene SNORA74. It matches the Rfam family "Small nucleolar RNA SNORA74". From Rfam's summary of the family: U19 belongs to the H/ACA class of snoRNAs. snoRNAs bind a number of proteins (including dyskerin, Gar1p and Nop10p in the case of the H/ACA class) to form snoRNP complexes. This class are thought to guide the sites of modification of uridines to pseudouridines by forming direct base pairing interactions with substrate RNAs. Lineage: Eukaryota; Metazoa; Chordata; Mammalia; Lagomorpha; Ochotonidae. The record is from Ensembl.
CCCAGAUGUAGGCAACUGCCUAGGUUGCCUCAAACCUAAGCAAAUGUUACGCUGCUGGGAGAAAAAUAGCCAAUAACUGGUUGGCAUUCUGGGCCUGGUUAAUGCUAAAUUUGUGUUAACUAUACCAGUAUGCCAGCAUA